AGAAUGCUAGUCAGCGCACUCAAGCCAACAUGAGAGCGCGGCACACAGNNUAGNNAACACGUGGCUAACCUGCCCUCGGGACGGGGACACNNNUGGGAAACUGGGGCUAAUCCCCGAUAGGUGAAGAACUCUGGAAUGAAUCUCCACCCAAAAGACGCUUACGCCAUGCUCGCAAGCGCCGCCCAAGGAUGGGGCCGCGACCGAUCAGGUUGUUGGUGAGGCAACGGCUCACCAAGCCAUUUACCGGUGCGGGCCGUGGGAGCGGGAGCCCGGAGAUGGGCACUGAGACAAGGGCCCAGGCCCUACGGGGCGCAGCAGUCGCGAAAACUUUGCAAUAAGCGAAAGCUUGACAGGGCUAUCCCGAGUGCCAUCCGCUGAGGAAGGCUUUUCCCCAGUCUAGAAAGCUGGGGGAAUAAGGAGAGGGCAAGACUGGUGUCAGCCGCCGCGGUAAUACCAGCUCUCCGAGUGGUGUGGAUGUUUAUUGGGCCUAAAGCAUCCGUAGCUGGCUGGGCAAGUCCCCUGUUAAAUCCACCGAUUUAAUCGUUGGCGUGCGGGGGAUACUGCUUAGCUAGGGGACGGGAGAGGCCGACGGUAUUUUCGGGGUAGGGGUGAAAUCCUAUAAUCCCGGGAAGACCACCAGUGGCGAAGGCUGUCGGCUAGAACGCGCCCGACGGUGAGGGAUGAAAGCUGGGGUAGCGAACCGGAUUAGAUACCCGGGUAGUCCCAGCUGUAAAACGAU
RNAcentral lists this ribosomal RNA (739 nucleotides) under uncultured crenarchaeote. RNAcentral's name for it is "bacterial SSU rRNA". It matches the Rfam family "Archaeal small subunit ribosomal RNA", at positions 47 to 761 of the family's 1478-position model. The record is from RNAcentral. Lineage: Archaea; Thermoproteati; Thermoproteota.